Phragmites australis (common reed) is the source of this 139-nucleotide small nucleolar RNA. RefSeq annotates it as small nucleolar RNA Z247. NCBI's taxonomy places the organism in Eukaryota, Viridiplantae, Streptophyta, Magnoliopsida, Poales, Poaceae. The record is from RefSeq and is a predicted model, not a curated record. The transcript has a single exon.
UCGCUUCAGGAUGAUGAAGUUGUCUCCUAUCUCCUCAUCGGCCUGAGUGAGGAAUACAAUCCACUGGUGACGUCAGUCACCACCAGAGCAAAUGCAUUGACAUUGAGCGAGGUGUACAACCACCUCCUCAGCUUCGAGA